UCACAUUUCUCGUUUUCUCGUACACUUUUGUUUUGUUCGCUUCUUAGUCUUUUCUUCGCAAUACGUUAUGGUCGGGUACUUGCCAAAGGUCUUCCGAUGUUUAAGUCAGUACACAGGUUACUCUAGAUAUAGAAAGAGCAGAAGUAAAUGUACAGUAAAUGUGAACCAACCACCUCCUACCUUUAACCUCUAUUUAUAGAUUUUGUUAUAGACUCGUGAUUAGCGAAGCCUUAAUCACGACCCAAUGCUAGCCCAACGCCGCUAAUCAUGUUUUUACCUUACCCCCUCGACCGGACGAUCUAUUUACGGCGGUAGUACUCGUAGAUUGGAACGAUACAUACAAGAUUAGCAUGUCACCUGUGGGUGGACGUUUGCGUCACGCCGAACGCGGUGGACAAGCGUCCUUAUGGGAAUAUCCGAUAGAAUUGGACCGGUACAGACAAGAUUAGCUUGUCACCGGUAGGGACACUGCGCCAUGCCGAAUGUGAUGGGCAGGCGUCCUUAUAACGUGUCACAUGUCGUCCGACCCC
RNAcentral lists this long non-coding RNA (530 nucleotides) under Vigna radiata. RNAcentral describes it as "long non-coding RNA (VRAD_LNC002828)". Lineage: Eukaryota; Viridiplantae; Streptophyta; Magnoliopsida; Fabales; Fabaceae. The record is from RNAcentral.